CUGUGUGUGAGAAAGUCCGGUCUAAUCUACUCGCCUUGGAAGUGAGAAAUCGUAGGUUCAAAUCCUACCGCACAGACCA
RNAcentral lists this transfer RNA (79 nucleotides) under bacterium. RNAcentral describes it as "tRNA-Pro". It matches the Rfam family "tRNA". From Rfam's summary of the family: Transfer RNA (tRNA) molecules are approximately 80 nucleotides in length. Their secondary structure includes four short double-helical elements and three loops (D, anti-codon, and T loops). The record is from RNAcentral.